Molecule: ribosomal RNA, 788 nt
Filed under: uncultured bacterium
Lineage: Bacteria
Description: bacterial SSU rRNA
Rfam family: Bacterial small subunit ribosomal RNA
Source: RNAcentral
UUAACACAUGCAAGUCGAACGAGAGGAGAAGGAAGCUUGCUUCUUUCAAAUCUAGUGGCAAACGGGUGAGUAACCCGUAAACAACCUGCCUUCAGGAUGGGGACAACAGACGGAAACGACUGCUAAUACCGAAUACGUUCCUUAGGUCGCAUGACUUUAGGAAGAAAGGGUGGCCUCUACUUGUAAGCUAUCGCCUGAAGAGGGGUUUGCGUCUGAUUAGGUAGUUGGUGAGGUAACGGCCCACCAAGCUGACGAUCAGUAGCCGGUCUGAGAGGAUGAACGGCCACACUGGAACUGAGACACGGUCCAGACUCCUACGGGAGGCAGCAGUGGGGAAUCUUCCGCAAUGGGCGAAAGCCUGACGGAGCAACGCCGCGUGAGUGAUGACGGCCUUCGGGUUGUAAAGCUCUGUGAUCGGGGACGAACGGUCGGCAGACGAAUACUCUGCUGAAGUGACGGUACCCGAAUAGCAAGCCACGGCUAACUACGUGCCAGCAGCCGCGGUAAUACGUAGGUGGCAAGCGUUGUCCGGAAUUAUUGGGCGUAAAGCGCGCGCAGGCGGCUUCUUAAGUCCAUCUUAAAAGUGCGGGGCUUAACCCCGUGAUGGGAUGGAAACUGAGAGGCUGGAGUAUCGGAGAGGAAAGUGGAAUUCCUAGUGUAGCGGUGAAAUGCGUAGAGAUUAGGAAGAACACCGGUGGCGAAGGCGACUUUCUGGACGACAACUGACGCUGAGGCGCGAAAGCGUGGGGAGCAAACAGGAUUAGAUACCCUGGUAGUCCACCCCGUAA